AUUGAACGCUGGCGGCAUGCCUUACACAUGCGAGUCGAACGGCAGCACGGGUGCUUGCCCCUGGUGGCGAGUGGCGAACGGGUGAGUAAUACAUCGGAACAUGUCCUGUAGUGGGGGAUAGCCCGGCGAAAGCCGGAUUAAUACCGCAUACGAUCCACGGAUGAAAGCGGGGGACCUUCGGGCCUCGCGCUAUAGGGUUGGCCGAUGGCUGAUUAGCUAGUUGGUGGGGUAAAGGCCUACCAAGGCGACGAUCAGUAGCUGGUCUGAGAGGACGACCAGUCACACUGGGACUGAGACACGGCCCAGACUCCUACGGGAGGCAGCAGUGGGGAAUUUUGGACAAUGGGCGAAAGCCUGAUCCAGCAAUGCCGCGUGUGUGAAGAAGGCCUUCGGGUUGUAAAGCACUUUUGUCCGGAAAGAAAUCCUUGACUCUAAUACAGUCGGGGGAUGACGGUACCGGAAGAAUAAGCACCGGCUAACUACGUG
This 486-nucleotide ribosomal RNA is filed under the name uncultured bacterium. Its description in RNAcentral is "partial 16S ribosomal RNA". It matches the Rfam family "Bacterial small subunit ribosomal RNA", at positions 30 to 507 of the family's 1533-position model. The record is from RNAcentral.